RNAcentral lists this ribosomal RNA (491 nucleotides) under uncultured bacterium. RNAcentral's name for it is "partial 16S ribosomal RNA". It matches the Rfam family "Bacterial small subunit ribosomal RNA", at positions 28 to 507 of the family's 1533-position model. The record is from RNAcentral.
GAUGAACGCUAGCUACAGGCUUAACACAUGCAAGUCGAGGGGAAACGCCAUUGAAGCUUGCUUCGAUGGUCGUCGACCGGCGCACGGGUGAGUAACGCGUAUCCAACCUGCCUCUGACCAAGGGAUAACCCGUCGAAAGUCGGCCUAAUACCUUAUGCAGUCGUCGGAAGUCAUCUGAUGACGACGAAAGAUUUCAUCGGUGAGAGAUGGGGAUGCGUCUGAUUAGCUUGUUGGCGGGGUAACGGCCCACCAAGGCAACGAUCAGUAGGGGUUCUGAGAGGAAGGUCCCCCAAAUUGGAACUGAGACACGGUCCAAACUCCUACGGGAGGCAGCAGUGAGGAAUAUUGGUCAAUGGGCGAGAGCCUGAACCAGCCAAGUAGCGUGCAGGAUGACGGACCUAUGGGUUGUAAACUGCUUUUAUGCGGGGAUAAAGUGAGGGACGUGUCCUUCAUUGCAGGUACCGCAUGAAUAAGGACCGGCUAAUUCCGUG